This 468-nucleotide ribosomal RNA is filed under the name uncultured bacterium. RNAcentral describes it as "partial 16S ribosomal RNA". It matches the Rfam family "Bacterial small subunit ribosomal RNA", at positions 28 to 507 of the family's 1533-position model. The record is from RNAcentral.
GACGAACGCUGGCGGCGUGCUUAACACAUGCAAGUCGAACGGAAAGGCGCUGCUUUUGUGGGGUGCUCGAGUGGCGAACGGGUGAGUAACACGUGAGUAACCUGCCCUUGACUUUGGGAUAACUUCAGGAAACUGGGUCUAAUACCGGAUAUGAGCUCCUGCUGCAUGGUGGGGGUUGGAAAGUUUCGGCGGUUGGGGAUGGACUCGCGGCUUAUCAGCUUGUUGGUGGGGUAGUGGCUUACCAAGGCUUUGACGGGUAGCCGGCCUGAGAGGGUGACCGGCGACAUUGGGACUGAGAUACGGCCCAGACUCCUACGGGAGGCAGCAGUGGGGAAUAUUGCACAAUGGGCGGAAGCCUGAUGCAGCAACGCCGCGUGCGGGAUGACGGCCUUCGGGUUGUAAACCGCUUUCGCCUGUGACGAAGCGUGAGUGACGGUAAUGGAUAAAGAAGCACCGGCUAACUACGUG